CUAAUACAUGCAAGUCGAGCGCGGGAAGCAAACUGAAUCCUUCGGGAGGACGUUUGUGGAACGAGCGGCGGACGGGUGAGUAACACGUGGGCAACCUGCCUGUAAGACUGGGAUAACUCCGGGAAACCGGGGCUAAUACCGGAUGACACUUCGUACCGCAUGGUACGGAGUUGAAAGAUGGUUUACGCUAUCACUUACAGAUGGGCCCGCGGCGCAUUAGCUAGUUGGUGGGGUAAUGGCUCACCAAGGCGACGAUGCGUAGCCGACCUGAGAGGGUGAUCGGCCACACUGGGACUGAGACACGGCCCAGACUCCUGCGGGAGGCAGCAGUAGGGAAUCUUCCGCAAUGGACGCAAGUCUGACGGAGCAACGCCGCGUGAGUGAGGAAGGUCUUCGGAUCGUAAAACUCUGUUGUUAGGGAAGAACACGUACGAGAGUCACUGCUCGUACCUUGACGGUACCUAACCAGAAAGCCACGGCUAACUACGUGCCAGCAGCCGCGGUAAUACGUAGGUGGCAAGCGUUGUCCGGAAUUAUUGGGCGUAAAGCGCGCGCAGGCGGCUUCUUAAGUCUGAUGUGAAAUCUCGCGGCUCAACCGUGAGCGGUCAUUGGAAACUGGGGAGCUUGAGUACAGAAGAGGAGAGCGGAAUUCCACGUGUAGCGGUGAAAUGCGUAGAGAUGUGGAGGAACACCAGUGGCGCAGGCGG
This 707-nucleotide ribosomal RNA is filed under the name uncultured bacterium. RNAcentral describes it as "bacterial SSU rRNA". It matches the Rfam family "Bacterial small subunit ribosomal RNA", at positions 48 to 724 of the family's 1533-position model. The record is from RNAcentral.